AGAAAUCGAACGAAAUAACUACAAUAAUAAAUUUAUUCCUCUUUGACGGGCCAAUAGCAAUAUUGGCCAUUUUUUU
RNAcentral lists this small RNA (76 nucleotides) under uncultured Buttiauxella sp. RNAcentral's name for it is "sroB RNA". It matches the Rfam family "sroB RNA". The record is from RNAcentral. Lineage: Bacteria; Pseudomonadati; Pseudomonadota; Gammaproteobacteria; Enterobacterales; Enterobacteriaceae.